UGACAUUUAAGUUGUUCAUCUAGCUUUCUUAUUCCUAAGUCUAAUUCCUACUUGUCUCAUCCUGUAGAUAUCCUAAGAGCACAAUUAUAAGAUCAAGGCUUGUGACAAGCGCAGCUGGAGAAGAAAUCCCAGUUCUCUCUUUUUAUUUAAAAUUACUCAUGGUUAGGGUAAUCAGGUUGUAAAUGAUCCAGGUUCAGUUUCUCUUCUGCCACAAGAGAGUUCAAACGUAUCUCCCUUUUCCCAGGUUAAUAUUCCAAGCAAAUUACUUUUGUGGGCCUUAUUCCAUUCCUUUACAUGAGAGAAUAUUUAAAGGCCUUUGCCCAUUUAAUCCUCAUCUUCCUUGAGAACUCUCCAAAAGCUUCAUGAUGAGCAGGAGUCAUGGUGUGCUUUGUGAUCUGCUUAAAUCCCUCCUUUUACUCUACCUCCAUGACUACAAAGCCUACUGAUUCAAAGAAAUUGUAGUGAGUGCUCUGUCUCUUGGUCCAAAGAACAUCGGGAUGCAUAUGAUGCUGUAUGCUAUGAUGCUCCUUCCUUUCUGAGCCUACAAAGGUGGUGUGGAAAAGCAGUUUGUAGGCUGCAUUAUUCAUUCAGUAUAGUGGCUCUUUUAGAACAGCUAUAACCAUGGGUUAUAUCCCAGAAGUAGCUGUGGUCCAUGAGAUCUGAUUUUGGCCUGGGUGAGACCUCAAGGUUAACAAGAACUUCAGUGGGAAUUUGGUUGAGUUUUUCCCUUCUUGGACUCCCCUACUGCAGGUUUCACAGCCAUAGGUCACAACAGAGUUGGGUGUGUUUUUAGUACCGGAAGAACAAGUAUCACAGGUUUUAUCAGGGGAAAUGCCAAGAUUACACAAGACACCAGAGAAUUACUAUCCCACUGAUUAAUAAAUCAUCAGAAGUUAAAGAAGAACAGCCUAUGUUAUUUCACUCACAACUUCUUCUGAUGAGAUAACACAAAUGAAAGAAUAUAGGGUCAUCACAAACUGCUGCAAAGAUAAGCAUCAGUCACUGAAAAACAUUAUCCAUUUUUUGUUAUCAGGAACUCUUCAGAAUAACUUUUAUUACUAUUGUGGUUGUUGUCAACUUUUGCUGCUUUAUGUCUGGACCACAGGGAAUGCUGCCUUCUUACAGGGAUUCACAACUCUUACAGUUGAGUUGUUCAUUUCAAAAACAAACUUUUAAAAGGCCUUUAUAUCCUACCUGUCAUUGGCUAGUGCACUCUCCCAGUAUAUUCUCUCCUUUGCUUGGAGGCACUGAAACCCACUUUUCUCACAGUAAUGUCUUAUACGCCAAGCUGCAGGGAGGCUGUUCCACUUUGGAACAGAUAUAUAUUACCUGCAGUGGAGAGUGUGAGCACACAGUUAAGGAUUACUCUCCUGCACAGUGUUUAGGGCACAAACAUCUACUUUACUGCAAACAUUAUUUGCAACAGAAACUGGAACCCAAAUUUCUCUUCUUGCAGAUGAGUUCUGCUGUAUAGAAAUAUAUGAAAUAUACAAAGUGUCUUGUAAAUGACUGCUCUCUUUUUCUCUCCUGAGAGAGUCAGCUCUAGCAACUUCAUGAUAAAUUCAUUUUUUAGGAAAAUACCCUGCUAAUAAGUAGCCCUUAGUGUGGUAGCUUCGUUAUUUUUCUAGGAACUGAAUGGUAUGGGAGAGAACAUCAUGAGGUAAAGACAAAAAUCUAUUUAAAGUCUCUUGUGUUCCAGAUGACAAUAUGGUGAUAGAGAUGACAUUAUCGUGGUCACUGUUGUAACCAUUUGCCUUCCUUCCCCCAGCAGAUAUAUCAAGUGUGCCUGAGAAGUUCUUGCAGAUAGAACAGGUAAAGGAUUAUGGUUUGUGAAGCUUGAUGCUACCUUGGCUUGAGAAGAUCUGAGCAGUGCAGUCCUGCUGAGUGUUAGGUACUUCUGCAAAUGAUUGGAGGCCAAUUUUUAGGGAACUCUGAUCCUAAAAAUGGAGGGGACUGUGUGCUUCCUCAGAGAGAUGAUAGCAGAGCAGGCUUGCAGCUGAGGAGGAAGAUGAGCACAUGAAGUGCCUUCUUCCUGUAGAUCUAAAGCUACCUUGGCAAUAAGGAUGUGUCAUUAACCAUGUUACUUGUGGGUCUAGUGGGAACGGAGGCAUGGCUUGAGCUCACUCCAGCAGAUAACAAUGGAUAGCAGCAUUGCCAGCAAGGUGCUGGGCAGAGAUCCUGCUGGCUUUGUGCCCUUUUUCCCAAGGCACAGUUCUCUGGCAGGUAGGUUUUGGCCUGGGACCAUUGCAGCAGCUGUGCUGCAACCCUGGAAUACUCUACUGGGCUUGGUGGUGUGUGACGUAUACUUCUUGUCUGGAUCAGGGCAUGACAGCUGCGUUCCAGGAAAAGCCUAUCCUCCCCUGAAGUCAAUUCACUACCUAACUAUUUACCUACAUAAACAGUCAAUGCAGCGUUCAGACUAACUGCACAGGAUGCGGAAACUUGUCUGGCUGUGACAUUGCUCUGUUUAUUUGGUUUUAUAACUUGCACAUCUGUUUCUUGCUUAUUUUUUUUUUUUACUCUUUGCUCAGGAAUUAACUUCAGCACCUUCUGUGUCUUUAUGAAUUGCCUCAGAUUAAUAUUUAACACAAAUGCAUUCAGCUUUUGGUAUGCUACCAGAAGACCUAUGUCCUCUUUCACACUGUUUCAGAUGAUACAAGAAAUGUGCUUGAACUCUGAUAUCUGACUCGACAAAGGAAUGACUGAAUUUAAAAAGAGAUUUAUCAGGUAAAGACUACCAGUAAAUCUAAACAGAAAAUGCUGAAAAGAUUAUGCAGCCAUUGCUCCAUAUUAAGGCAAAAUUCAGCCCAGCUCACCACUUUGCCUAGGCAACAGGGCAGAGCCUUUAGAGAAGGAAGUGUGCCAAAGGAGAUGUGGCAAUGCCUUGCAAACAUAAAACAGGCUGCUCUGGGAGGAAGAGGAGGCACGUGGCAUCGGCUAGCACAGACUGAGUGGUAAUGGCCUUAGGAGCAGCUGAAUUUAUGACUGUUUUCAGCAGUUACUCUAUGUAAGGUUUCUGUGGUGUCUCUGGUGAAUUUUAAACCAGCACAAAAGAAAGUGUGGGAAGAUUGCUGCCUGCGUGGCCCACGCCUGCCGUGUUUGGAGCAGGCCUAUGCCAAUUAGCCUGUUCAGCCCUCAGGGUGUAAUAAUGUAAUUGUUGUUACCAUUAGUACCAAUUAUAGGAAUUAGAAAGAAACAAACCUUUAUACAGGAGAAAGUAGAAUAUGUUUGCGGAUAAACCAAAGGGGAGUGCUUUCUUUUACUAGCUCUAUGACCCCCAAAUCAAUUAAGCUGGUUACGUGUUCAGCAGUCAGCAUGGUCAGUAAUUAGUAGUUUCUCCACAGUUUCAAGCUUAAAUACCACUCCUGGUGAUCACUGUCUUCUGAGAGACUUCAGAUCUGGGUACUGACCUAUCCUAGAGCAUCUGGGAGUAGCCUUAUAUCAGUCAGUGAAGGAAGCUAGGGGGAGUUGAAUGCUGUCCAGAGGCUGUCUAUGAAGUAGCCACAGGAGAAUCUGUGUUUUUGUUUUUCUCCUGAACAGUCUCUUCUUGGAUCUUAGACAAGGCUUAAACGAGAUUUUUGAAAAAAAGCUGCAAGAAAAAUUUUGUGUAAUAGUAUGUAUGCAAUUAUUCUCUUCCAUAAGCAGAAACAUGCAGAGUGACACCAUUUGGUUAUUACCAACUAAUCUGUGGUCAAAUUUCUGAAGUAUUUUAUCAUUGCUCUUUGCACUUCUAUAGCAGAACGUAUUAACACAUUCAGUCUCCACCUUCAUGGACAAAGAUUUACCCAAGUCCACAUCCUGGUAGUGAGUUUUGCACCACUGUAAAACAAAUCACGUUUGUGAAAUUCAGAUUAUGGGAAACGUUCUGGAACAUUGCUAUAAGAGCUGCAGAGCCAAUGUGGGCUACAACUGGUCUAGACAAGAUCUGUGAACAAGUUGAAGCAGUUAAGUGCUUUUGAGACAUGAGUUUUUCUGUGGAUUUCAGUUGGGAAUUAUACGCCAAAUUAGGAGCCAACUGUUCUGGUACACUGAGCAGCGUUGAGCUUUUAGGUCUUAAUUUCAUUCCUUGAAUUUUGUAAAUGGGCAUUUUUUGACUCGCAUAGAAGGUAUUUAUUAGAACAAUUCCCCCUAGCCAGUACUACAGGGAUUGCUCUACCAGAUGCCUGAUACUGUCUAGUCUUCUGUUUCCAACAAGGACUGUAGAGCACCCCAUAGGGAGGGUUGCUUAGAAAGGGAUUUUCUCAGAAAUCUCUUUAUUUCUGGAAUUUUAUGCUCUGGAGUAUGAGAAAAAUUAUCUGUAAUGGCUUUUUAUUCUAUCAGUGUGAUCUAACUGCAAUCAUGACUGUUUCCAGUCAAGGUUUAAGCUUUCCUAGAUUUCAAAAUACUUUGAUCUCAGGUAUGAAAUAGUGUACCUUAGAUUGACAGAUAAAUUAUAUAUGUAUAUAUUUAAUUGGAUUAUUUGUUUUAAAUCUGGAGCUGUUUAAGAUUCAUCCCCUACUCUGAGUACUGGAAAUGAGAGGAGGUGGCAGAGUCCAGUUUGCCUACUCUGUGUCACCAGGCCUCUCUCUCAUGACCACUCCACACGCUUCCAGUCUGGGGAAAAAAUCUCAGCCCCAGUGCCAAAUCUGAGGAAUAUUCCCAUCAAAAUAAAAGAAAACAACUCAACUCUGUGUAAAGUUGUCCUCUAAUACACCGCAUUUUCCAACAGCAGAGGAAGCGGGAUCAGGGCAAAGUGAUGCUGGUGUGCAUGGUGUUGUCCCUUCCUAUCCAUUGGGACCUAACGUGUGCUGCAAGAGCACUGCAGGGGCCACCAUGUAAAAUAUGCAUAGGUUGCCCUAAAGUAUGCCAAGCAUCAGGCUGGCACCCUCAUGAGAUGCUACAGAAAUAGCUAUGGGUCGUCUCUGUCCCAUCCGGUAGCUGUGGUGGGUACAGCUCUGUGGCACUGGUGUGGCACUCGGAGAGACAGCUGGGCCGCAGACCUCCACAGGAUGACAGUGGUGGGAAGGUGGCCUGGGGAGAGCUGCCACACGCGGCCGAUUCAAGCCUCUCGCUAUGGGGUCAGAACAACUGGUGCCUGGCAGGAAACGGGUGGAAAGAUUGCAAAAGACACAGGUAUCGGCCGGUGAUCUGUGCUGGAAGGUGGCGAGCGAGUAACCUUGCUCCAUUUUGUGGUAGUGCUUCACCUGCAAGUGCCUGCUGUGAGUGAAAUUGUCUGAGCUGGUGCCGCACUUUAUCAAUUUCACUCUCAGCAGGCUCCGCAGGUGAAGUAUUUCAUUGCAGGAGUCAGACUCCGCUCUCCCCUUCGCAGUCUGAAAUAGAAAGAGGGGACAGGAAAGAAGGUAAUAAAUGGCCAGAGAAGAGCAAAAGCAGGGCAGAGAGCAGCAAGAAGCAGCGUGCGUGUUAAAUGGUACUGGUAAUUCAGUGCACCUAACCCUCUAAUUCUGGUGGAAUCCAACACUUAAAAGGGCUUUACUUAACUUUUUUAAACCUUACGCUUGGAAAUAAAAGAAGUAAGAGAACUUCACGGCUGGAAGUGAAAAAUUAUGGUGAGUUUUUAUAUUCCCAUGUUUAAAAUGCCGUGUAAGAUGAUGUGGGUAGAACUAUAAGAUAAUAUUCUCAGUCUUCACCCUAACAGUGGCAAAUAGGGGCUUUUUUUUCUGAGAGAAAUAUAGGCCAGGCUUUUUUUGUUGUUUUUUUUUUCUUUCCUGAGUUCUGCAUUUCAGAAAUGAUGUGCUGUGAUUUCGUUGUUGCCCUUUCUUAAGAAAACCUGCAUCUGAUUUUCAGCGUUGCUGGUGCCGCUUCCCUUAACUUCAGAGAGAAGUUCAGCAUUCAAGAUGAGAACCAAGCAAAACUGGUAACCACAUGGGAUUGUUUCACUACUAGGAUAAAGCUCAUGUGAUUCAGGGGUCAAUGGGAUGUCAACACAGCGUUAGAGCUCACAGGUCCAUCUGCUUCCAGGCAGUUACAUCCUAUGUUUUACAGGAAUAGAAGACAGCACAGAGCUAACGUGUUUAAGCUGGCUCUCAGUUCCUACAGGAGCUUCCUUCUUGAAAGUCCUUGCAAAGCUGUUAGCCCAUCACUUCAGCUGCAGUGAGCCAAUUCCCUGGGCUAGGUCCCAGCAUGCAGCAGUCUUACACUCUGUGGCUUGGGGAAUUGAUGCACCCUUUUGCUGUAGGAUACAUCUGACAGCAUUAGACUCUGUCCCAGUUACACGUUUGGGAAGGGACUGCACCAUUCUCUGAAGUUCCAGGGAGAAAGAGUGGCUUUUUGUCACAGCGAGUGCCCAGUGACAGGAGGCUGUACCUGCUGGCUUUAAGCUUGCUGCUGUCUAAUGUGGGAAAACUGGUUGAAGGGCUGUUGCUGGAGGAAGGCAGUCAGAGUGGAAGAGCUCAGCUCUUGUGCUUCAGGAGAGAAGGGAAUGAAUGCAAUGCAAUAAUGAACUUAAAACAGAAGACUUCAACCCACUCCAAGAAUUGCUAAAUGCAGUCUUGUGGAAAGGAAUUUUAAUGGGAAAAGGUGCCCUGGAGAACUGCUGGUUCCUAAAAGAGACACUGAAUAUCGGAUGAAAAGCUGCCAUGAUACAGGAGGCUCACAGCAAGUGUGGGGAGAGACAGCUAUGGCUGCAAAGGAAGAUCUUUAAUGACCCGACGAUGAAAAUGACGGUGCAAAAGGUGGCUUCAUUUCUGCAUGCAGGCAAUACAAGUAAAGCUUUUAGCAGUGUCCCAAGUGAAUCUCAUGGGCGUGCCAGGGAAAUGUGGUCUUCAUUAAACUACUGUAAAGUGGGAAAGAGAAGGCAAGGGAUUGGGUAAGUGUGUGGGAGCAGAAGAGGAAGAAUGAGAGGGAAGGCAGCACAAAUCAGAGUACCUUUUUUUUUUACUAUGGAAAUAGUUAUAUGGCCCAAGUUAAAAUGAACAAACAAACAGAGAAAAAAACCAAUAUAAUACUACACAUCUGGUGUUGUAGUGUCAUGCACACACCUUUGUCUUCACAGCAAUGCUAUGCGAUUGUAUAGUGGAACCUGAUUUGCAAGGCUGCUUAAUACAGACCUGACCUUAGCUAAUGAAAAGAUUAAGAUCCUUUGCAUUAAGCUUUUUGUUGAGCCCUCAUCUUCAGAUGAGGGAGAAACCCCAGAAAAACUAUUGCAACUGCUCCAAUGAUGACGUACACAUUUACAUUCUAAAGGGUGGGAUCUCUGAGUGCCAACAUUUGAAUGAUUAAAUAAAUCACGAGGUGCAUUUAAUGGGUGACCUGUAGGGGCUUCACAGCAAGUAGUUUUGUCUGCUCCCACCCUCAAACGGUUUUAAUAAUGUCUUUGACUCCAUUUGCAACCAGACCUCUUUCGUAGGUGCAGCCUUUGUCCUUUGCAAAGCAGUUUGUGAGGAGUGCUUCGAUGUCAGAAGGAGAGUGCCAGGAGCAGGUGGUCCUCCUAUUUGCUUUUCUAUGAGAUCUCCUUAGUACAGGGCUCAGCCUUAACUUCGCAUGCUUAUAAGAUUUUUGUCAUUAAACCCCAACUAGAAAUGAAACGGAGGCUACUCUAAAAGUGAAUCAAAAUAUCAGUCCAUGAGACUAGAAUGUGAAAAAGUGGCGUGCAACAUCACCGAGGAGAGUUAUCUUUGUUGUGUGUAACAGGUUGGUUAGAGGAAUUCUAGAAUCUGCAAAUGACACCCCAACUGCUGUAUUCCGUACCCCAGCAAAGCUGGUAAGGUUACAUGGAUUACAGAUAAACACCAAAUUGCUGCUUUGGUUUUUAUGAUCGGUGGGACAAAGAUGUGAAGAAAAGUCAGUAUAUGUAAUAUAUGAGAGACACAAAUGUUUGCAGUUUUCUUUUGGUGAACAGAUGCAGGUGCUCUGAAUGACCUUUUCUCUGGUAGCGGCAGUACAUUUCCUGGGAGGGUCACCUGGCAUACCCCACAUGAUCACCAUAUAAGAGCAGAAAAUAGAGGCUGUUGUGAAAAGAAUCUCACCUGAUGUGUCCGUUUGCUAACAAGGCAAAUCUCAUGAUACUUGCAAGAAAAAAAUCAUCAGUAAACAAUCCUAUGAGGUGGGUAGGUCUGUAAAGAUUGCUUUGGGCUGCUCAGGAAGAGACAUUUGUUUGCCACUUUUGGAUUGGAACAAGAAGGGAAUACAGGGCAGUGCCACCAUGACGAUGGAAGGUAGAACAAUCCCAAAGUUUCCAGGGGCUUUGCAAGACAAAAUAAGAGCAAUCUGUGGUAGCUUGGCCUGCUAAGAAUGGAGAAUCCAGAAGCAAUUACAACUGGGAACUGCCCUUUGAGCCCAGUGGUCUGGGCAAUUUUCAAACCACUUGACAGCAACGGACAUUCAGAUCAUCCAGCAGACAUGCAGUCCAGACUUCUUCACUUCCAAAUGUACGACCAUGGCAGACAAUGUCAUACAGCUGUCUGCUGCUCAUUCAGAGCUGCUUCUCAUUUUUGGGUUGCCUUCUGAUGCAUGAGACGAGAUGCAGAGACUGAUGCUGCUGCUGUCAUAAGAGUAUGUGGUUCACAGGCUUGAUCUUUUAAUAAUGUUUCACUUUUUUUUUUUUCACAGGAUAUUGCUGACAUUAUGACACAGCUCCAGGAACUACCAAGUCUUCUAAUGGCUCCAGUAGUUUCUGAGCCUGUAUCUCAUCAUACUAUACCUACCUUGAUCUGCUGGCAACAUGGAAAAGCUCUAUUCUGUUCUUUCUGUCUCGAUUCCCCAUACCCACCUUUGAUUUUUAGCAGCCUCAUAUAUGCAUCUUCCUUCAUUCCUCCUCUAUCCACAUAUUCUUCCCUGAAUGGUGCUCUCAUCACGCACCACUGCUGGGAAGCCAACUCUGGCCCUCUCUCUGUCACUGAUACGAAGCAUUGGACUGGAGUUUCCAGGGAAGAGCAGCUCCCAUGGGUGCAAAAAUGCCUACAGGAAGGCAUGGCCAUGGCCCACUGCCCUCUCUCCUGCUCUUUGCUCCCGCAUCGAGCCAAAUAACAAAGCAUUUGUUCUUGUCAAGCAGAUGGGGAGGAAUUGGCAAGGAGCCCGGAAUCCUUAUAAGUUAAUCUCUGUCUAUUCAGCUGUAAGUAAAGAGAAUUUUAUCUCAAAAGAACAUCACUCCUUUGGCUUUGCCACCACAUAUUUGCUCACUGUAUCUUUUUCUCUCAUACCAUUCACUCGGGGGAACAAAUAGAGAGUUAUAUUUCCAACUAUGGAGGAAAAUUAUCUGAGGGCAGAGGAGGAUGAAUGUGAGGCCAUUCACUAAAAGGCAGAUUACCUCUGAUGCAGCAUCAGAGCGAAUGUGUGUGAAUCGUGACGAUCUAGCCUCAGUUUUGAAAGAAAAGAGGCAACAAGCUCGACCCAACAACUAUCCUGAGACCCCUGUGGAAAGUAAUAAUCUUGAACAAGCCAGUGCAAGCUAUGUUUUCAAUUUAUAAAUUAAAUGUAUUUAAAAUUUAUGAACUUUGACUGCACGAGUAACUACUUCAUUAGACUUUAAGGCUGCAUGUUUCCUUGGCUUUUUGCGUGGUAAAGUGAAACACAUUUCUAAUAAACAUGGAAGGAGAUUUCAAGAUAGAGUCACUACUUUUAUGUAAAGCACCCUCCAGACUCAUUAAAAAAGUUUACCACCUAAAUAAAGCAAGCACGCUGUAAUUCUUGAACCCAUAAAAUUGUUAAUAUAUACAUAAUAUUAGUCUACUCUUGCAUGUACGCUGCUUGAUAUCAAUGAACGACAUACAGUAAGGGUUUUACUGUAAGGAAAUUAGCAUAUAAAACUGUGUUUUGCUAAGUCUUACAUUGUAACGUGAACUCGAGAAACAAGAGAAUAUAAGUUGGGUGCUGCUCUGGUUUACUGAGUAGGUAUGGCUAAUGGCAUGAACGUCCUUAGGAGAGAGUGCUGCGGUGCUUUGACACCCAAGCUUCAGCUGUAACUGACACCGCCCUGUUUCUCCUAGUUUAUAUCAACCAGUUAGAACCCCUCUGAUGGCCAGCGGCGGUGGCGUGGUGGUGGGCACCAUGCAUUGGCCUACUAAGCAUGGCUGUGGCUCAAGGAGCUGGCACCAUGCACUUCCCCUCCCCUGGCACUGGUAUGUCCUCAGCUGCAGCACAGCACCCUGCUUUGGGAUCUUCACUUCAAGGGGGAUGUGGAAAACCUGGAAGGUUUCCACACUUGAGGUCUGUCACCACAGUCCAUGUCCCGGAGCACAGCUCCUGGAAGGAUCCAGCCCUGUUCUGUGUGGUGAAGAGGAGCCCAAAGGGUGGUCCGGCAGCAGUCUGGGGCUGCCUGAGGGGCAGAUCCAAAGAGAGCAGGGCCACACUCUUCUUGGUGGUGCCGGAGGAUGUAACAAGGGGCCACACAUGGCAGAUGGGGAGGUUCAGGCUGCACAUUAGGAAAUCCUUCUCCGCUGGGAGGGUUGUACGGCACAAGGACAGGUCCCACAGAGAGGUGGUGAAGGGUCCUUUCUUGGGGGCUUCACAGCUUGGCUAGAUAAAGCCCCAGCUGACCUACUGUUGUAAUAUAGGUGGUACUCCUACUUCAAGUGUCCUUUGGACCAGGUGAUCUCCAGCAGUCCCAUCCCAGCAGCAUUUCUGUGACUAUGUAGUCCUUUUCUACAGAGCAAGGGAGAAGCAGGUCCUAAACCACAUCAGUCUCUCUCAUCAGAGAGAGAGAAAGCAGCUCAGCCAAACCCCUGCCCCUCAGGGCUAGUCCUAGCCCAGCACCUACUCAGUUGUCUGUUAGAUUAUGUUGGGGUUCAGAAACAAGUCGC
Molecule: long non-coding RNA, 10736 nt
Filed under: Gallus gallus (chicken)
Lineage: Eukaryota; Metazoa; Chordata; Aves; Galliformes; Phasianidae
Description: lncRNA (ENSGALG00010006240.1)
Source: RNAcentral